Trichobilharzia regenti is the source of this 45-nucleotide non-coding RNA. NCBI's taxonomy places the organism in Eukaryota, Metazoa, Platyhelminthes, Trematoda, Strigeidida, Schistosomatidae. The record is from Rfam.
AUUCAGCUAACGAGUCCCAAAUAGGACGAAACGCGCAUCCUGGAU